Molecule: ribosomal RNA, 312 nt
Filed under: uncultured eukaryote
Lineage: Eukaryota
Description: partial large subunit ribosomal RNA
Rfam family: Eukaryotic large subunit ribosomal RNA
Source: RNAcentral
AUAUCAAUAAGCGGAGGAAAAGAAACUAACCAGGAUUCCCCUAGUAACGGCGAGCGAAGCGGGAAUAGCUCAAAUUUUAAAUCGGACUUUUUUGUUCGAGUUGUAAUUUGAAGAGACGUUUUCACGUCAUUUACCAGGUCUAAGUGCUUUGGAAUAAGCCAUCAGAGAGGGUGAGAAUCCCGUGCUGAACCCAAAGUGAGCUUCUCUGUAAUGCGUCUUCGAAGAGUCGGAUAGCUUGGGAAUGCUGUCCUAAUUGGGAGGUAAACAUCUUCUAAAGCUAAAUAUUGGCGAGAGACCGAUAGCGCACAAGUA